Planococcus citri (citrus mealybug) is the source of this 1692-nucleotide long non-coding RNA. RefSeq lists it as uncharacterized. The transcript is spliced from 3 exons. Lineage: Eukaryota; Metazoa; Arthropoda; Insecta; Hemiptera; Pseudococcidae. The record is from RefSeq and is a predicted model, not a curated record.
CUUCUCAACUCCUUUUCACAUCCCCACUCUAUUCCUUUCCAGUAAUUUCUUUGAAGUUUGAGCGUUUUUCUUGCAACUUUCGACAUCCAUCUUUGUCAAACUUUGCUCAUAACGGAAAACUGGUUACGGGUUGCUCGCGAAUAAUUUCUUUUUUCUUCGGUGUUUGAUGGAUUAAUUGUAUUAUUUCUAUCUCGUUUUAUUUUAAUUGAAUGCUGUAAUGUACAAUGUUAUGGUUUCAAGUACAUUUAAUGCGAGAAUUAACGAUUUGGUGAGUAAUUUAUCGAAAAUAGUUUCGUACCUAUUGUUCGUUAGACGAACCCCCGCGCCUAAACAUGUGAUUGCAUAAAUCGGCGAUUUAGCGAGUAAUAGAUCGGAAAUAAGUUUCGUAGUCAUUGUUAGACGAUCAUCCGCGCCUAAACAUGUCCUAGGUGUUUGUGCUAGAUUGCAUAAAUCGACGAUUUUGCGAGUAAUUUAUCGGAAAUAGUUACGUAUCCAUUGUUGGAUGAUCGUUCGCGCCAAAACGUGUUCCGAGUGUUUGUCUCAGGUAAUUGUGCUUAAUUUCGUCUUAUGUUAUUUGAGUGCUGUAUUUUACUAUUAUGUCGUCUAAAUUUUACUCAGAUUAAUAUGAUUCUGCGAGUAAUUCGUCGAAAAUACCAUGUAGUUUCUUCCUUGUGAUUGUUAUAAUGCUUCGCGCCUAAACUAUUGUUUGAAUCUUUGGUCUUGUCCAGGUAAUUGUACUUUAUUUCGUCUUAUAUGUUAUUCGAGUGCUGUAUUUUACUGUUGUGUUGUCUUGAUUUUACUCAGAUUGUACGAUUCGGUGAGUAAUUUAUCGAAAAUACCUAGAUGUAGUUUCCGUUUAAUCGUUAUACAAUGCUUCGCGCCUAAACAUAUUUGAAUCUUUGGUCCUGUCCAGGUAAUUGUGCUUCUAUAGUGCUUUAAAUCGCCACUGUGUGGUCUUAAUUUCAUGUAUGUGGAAAAUAAUGUGAUCAGAGUGCUUUGUUGAGUAUAAGUUCAUCUUGAGUAGGCAUACACCGCUUCUGCACCGAAAAGUAUUCGUUCGAUGAGUUAGUUUCAGGGCAGUUAACUUCAUUGUAGGUACAUUUCAACAGUACUAGGUCUCGUAAAGCAUUAUACUGCGACACGACGUUAAUCUUGUCCAGAAAUGAGCACUUUGUGUUAAUGUUACUUGAGUAUAUUAUGAUUGUACAAUCUCACCAUCCUACUGUCAUUUAGAAUGUUAUUUAGGUAUUAUAAGGUGGCGAAAAAUUCGAAUGUUGAGGCCCAGCAUAUACUAAAGUAUACUUACUUAGGCUAGUGUUGGAAAAUUACCUACCUACUGUUGACAUUCGAUCUCGCUAAGCUUUCUGCGUCGUCGUUAUCUUGUCCAGAAAUGAGCACUUGGUGUUUGUGUUAUUUGAGUAUUGUGAUUGUUCAAUUUCACCAUCCUAUUGUCAUUUAGGUAUUAUAAGGUGGCGAAAAAUUGGAAUGUCGAGGCCCAGCGUAUACCUAAGUAUACUUACUUAUUACUUAGGCUAGUGUUGAAAAAAUCACUGUUGACAUUCGAUCUCGCGAAGCUUCAUGGGUCGUUAUCUUGUCCAGAAAUGAGCACUUGAUGUUUGUGUUAUUUGAGUAAUGUAAUUGUAGAUACAAUUUUAUCAUCUUGCUAUCAUUUAGAAUGUUGGGUAUUUAUUA